Molecule: long non-coding RNA, 1143 nt
Organism: Hipposideros armiger (great roundleaf bat)
Lineage: Eukaryota; Metazoa; Chordata; Mammalia; Chiroptera; Hipposideridae
Exons: 2
Source: RefSeq, a predicted model, not a curated record
AAGGGGUGAUUUCUGCAGAGAAAAAUGAUAGCGCCGGGGACUGCAGAGGAACGAGGCACUCUAUUGUGUUUUGUCAUAACGAGUAUUAAUUUUUGUCUCAUCGAUGGGCACCACUUCUACGCAGCCCCGUGGAGGAUGCGCGCGAGCUUUUGCGCGCAGCUGGAAGCGCGCUAGGGUCAGUGGGGAAUCCUGUGCUGCAUAGAUGCCCCCGGCGGCGCGGAGGGAAGACCUAGGCCUGCCCAGCACAGAGCGAGCGAGCGCCGGGCCUUCCGGAAGGCCCGGGCCCGCGAGCGCCGCAACGGGUCUCCGAUGGCCUCCUGGCGCUGGGUUUCCGGCCUUUCGGGGCAGCCGCGACAGAAGGGUCCGGAAGCGGGGACCGGGACGCCUCUCUCCCCGGCCACAAUCACACCCGGAAAACACUAGGGUGAAAAUGACAAGAGGCUCUCGGUGGGGUGCAACUGACAGAGGGUCGCCGUGGAAAAGCUCCUGGCGUUUGUUUCCGCAAGGGCCCUUGGUUUCCUGGUCACCAUGGCAACCCCGGAGUCCCGUCGAACAACAACUGAGCGCCCCGGGGACAAUUGCACACUUUUGCGGCGCGUUCUGAGGCCUGCAAGGCGCUUCCGCCCCCAAACUCAUGGCUUUCCGGAGCCCCCUCAAAGGGUUCUACAAGGCAGGGAUUGAAAAACUCUCCCCCCCCUUUUUUUUUCAACGGAGGAGAAAAAUCGAGGAAUAGUGCAAUCUCUAACCGGGAGGUUCGGGUGUGGAGCAAAAGCCCCCACUUACAGCGUUCAGGGCGAUGACCUUGGAGGCGCGCGCGAAUGCAGCUUACGGGAUACUUAAACUGCCAUCAAGCCCGCACCUUGAAUGUCUCAACUCGGGACCCGGGAUUCUGGGAAUCAGGAAUCUCUUCACUCUGCUGCCCACUCCCAUCCACACCUUAGAUCCCCCACAUCCAUCCGAGCAAUCCUUUCUCCUGCCUGGAAUAACUCCUCCUCAAUGAGGAAGGAGAAAAAUCAGAAACGAAAUUUUCGGCAUUAAUACCUGCACGCUCUCACUGAGAGAAAGAAUAAAUUGUACUCCUUUUCCCUUUAGAGAAAUCAUUUUCCAUUGUAGACACAAUAUAAAUACAGUAAGAGAAUCUCU